CAAGGCACCAGUUGAUCCAAUUACUCAAAUACUAUGCUCGAUUAAUAGGGUAUUUACAUGUAUCAUAAAAGCUAAUCCUGUUCUUCAUACAUGAUGACAAAUAAAUCCAAAUCGAACUGGAUUAUAUUUACACCUGGAGUAAUUGUCCAGUUUGGCUCGAGCCUCAGGGCUUUACCUUGAAAGGGGCACUCGAAAGGAAAAGCCCUAGCCUCCUUGAUUCCUAAUCGAUGUAAGAUUUUGCAUAAUAAUCUAUCAAUACAUCCUUCACAAUCAGAGAACUGUAACUGUGCUUCCUGCAAAACACAGAUCAAAUGCAGAGGCAGCACAACCAUUACAGCACACCAAAUUUGAUGCGCUGUACUUGCAAAAUAUCUCAGACUAAUCACAUCAAAAUUAUCCACCAACUGUCAUAAUUAUAGAGAAUAAUGCAACAAAUUGCAAUUGAAAAUAUCAAAGAGAGAGGGAUUAAAAAAGGGUUGAGUAAAGUUGACUUGCUAAUCCGCAAAAAAGCAUGGGGGAGAAUGGUUUAUCGUUACGGAAAGAAAGUAUAUAGAGAAUAUCUAAAUAAACUUACGGAAUAAUAUUGGAAAUGUAUCAUAUUUCUACUUCACUCAUCCAAUCUUGUGAGCACAUCAAAGCUUGCACAGUAGUUGGUCGCAUUGAACUCCAUUCACGGUCAAGCACUCUCCCUCCAUUGUUAAAAGCAGACUCAGGUGUACCUUUUGACAUAGGAAUUCCCAAAAUAUUCCGUGCCAUCAUAGCUAGUAUAGGAUACUUUGGAGUGUGAACUUUCCACCAAUUUAAUAUGUUGAAAUCAACACUGCGAGGAAAAAGAGGUUCUUCCAAGUACUUGUCCAAAUCUGAUUUAGUACCUUGGCUCUGGGAAGUUUCAUGGAGGAAUUUGUCAAAUCCCAUCAGUCUAUCUUUACUGUCUCGCCCAGAACUAGGCAAGCAUCCAAUGCUACCACUAACUUGGCAAGUCAGACCUUGGUCAAAAGAAGCUAAAGGAGAGCCAAUCGAAUGUUCGUUGUACAGUGCCUUUAUAUACUCAGAAACUUCAUCAAUUAACUCUGCAGAACCACUACCAAAUAUUUGUUGAUAGUAGUACUCGAUCAAUUUUAUCUUGAAUCGAGGAUCUAACAUGGCUGCAACUGCUAAAGCAAAACUGCAUUUCUCCCAAUAUUCAUCAAACUUGCCUUUCAUCUUUAAUGCCAUAGAACCAAUAAAAUCAUCAGAAUUCUUGCACCAUUCAAUUAACUGCAAGUGAAUAUCACAGAUCUCAGAAAAAUAUAUAUUUGCAGUUGGAUACUUAUUCUUCACAAAAACCUUAGCGACUUCAACAAAGUGCUUCAAAAAGCUUGUAACGGUCCUCACCCUCUCCCACUCUAAAUCAGUUGGACAAGUUGAAUAGGCAAUGCCUUGUUCCUGAAAAUGUGAAAAUGCCCACCUGUACUCUAAGGCAGCUUCAAGCAUAAAAUAUGUAGAGUCCCAACGCGAUGGAUUGUCAAGACAUAAGCACUUCUGACUCUCAACUCCACCUUGUGAAGCAAUCUCAUUGAAUUUCAUCAGAUUUACUUGUGAACUUCUGACAUAACGAAUGCUUUCACGAAUUUUGUGUGUUACCUCAGAAAGCACCUCCAGUGCAUCGUGAACCAUCAGCUUGAGAAGACUUGCAGCACAGCGUAUAUCAAAUAGCACACCAUUACAGUAGAGGAACCUAUUCUGCGACAGCCGGUCUCUGAUUCUAUGGACAACAUUGUCAUUGGCAGAAUGACUAUCAAAUGUCAUUGAAAACAGCUUACGGUCUAUAUCCCAAUCCAUCAGACAUGUCAUGAUGCCUUCUGAAUGCAUGUCUUCUGUAGAAGCUGGAUCAACCAAGAUGAAAUUCAGUGUCUUCUUCUUUAAUUGCCAACCUUCAUCAAUGUAAUGUGCUGUUAAACACAAGUACUCAGCAUCGUCAGAAGCAGACCACAGAUUGGCACUAAGGCUGAUCUUUCCAGGUAAUUUAUCGAGUACUUCAUAAACCUUUUGUUUCUCUUGUGAAUAAAUAUCCACACAGUCAGCCUCUACUCUGUCAGUUGUUACAAGGUCAAACAAUGGUUGUAGAUUCUUAACAAAAACCCUGAAUCCAACAUGCUCAACCAUUUGAACUGGAUAACCAUGUAAAAUAAUCAUGCGAGCAAUAUCAAAUUGGCUUCGCCUUUGAUCCAAGUUACCACUUGCAACACUAACAGCUUCAUCUUUCAUCUGCCCUUGUUCAAAUUUAUCAAAUUUAUAAUUCACAACAGUAAGUGGUUCAUCCUUUCUUUGCUCCUGAUUAACAUUUACAUUCGCAAGAGCAAGGGUUCCUUCCUUCUUCUUUUCCUUUGUAGAAAGAAACUGAGCAAUGCCACGAUUAGAUCUUCUCUGACACCUAAUUAAAUGGUUCCUCAAAUGGGACGUUCCACUGGUACUUGAUCCACUAAGUUUUUUCUUACAAUGCCUACAAAUGGCAACAAAAGUAUCCCCUUUUUUCACCCUGUCAAAGUCAUUCCAUACCACAGAUUUUAAUCUGCUGGAUUUGACUAUCACGGCAUCAGAUAAAUCCAUCGCAUGAACCUGAUAGUUCACUGAUAUCUGACCAUUAGAAGCAAAUUUGGGGGGAAAUUAAAAGAAGAAAAAUAUAUAAUCAAUGAAAUAGAAAACCCUAUGAUGAUGAAAACAAAAUAUAAUGUGCACAGGUGUUUUUUUCCCAAAAACAAUAAAGCGACAUAAUAAAUCCCAAAUGCUCAUUACAGAAUCAACGUGGAAUUAAAUUAGGAUUAUAAAGAGUUUAAUCGCAUGUCAAGCAAACAUUCUUACGGAAAACAAAAUUAAAUUUAUGCCAAUAGUGCUAAUAUUAAGAAUAUAUUUAUAGUCAUAUCUCCAGAUACGAAUCACCCACUUGAUUUGGUGGUGCCGGGCAACUGUCUGUGACAGCAGUAGAGCCAUAGUGGCGGCGAAGCCUCAAUGGUGGUCUGCCCUUUCUGGUGACGGUCCGAGGAGAUUCAAGAUGAAGAACAAUGAAUUAUAAGCGCAAAUUUUUGGAAACAAAAAAUUAAAAAACCAACAGAAAAAACAGAGAAGGGAGGCGGCGGCACCCAAGAGUGAGAGAAAAGGAACGAGUUUCUAGGGCAAGAAAAAUCAAGGGCAAAUUA
This 3176-nucleotide unclassified non-coding RNA is filed under the name Hevea brasiliensis (rubber tree). Lineage: Eukaryota; Viridiplantae; Streptophyta; Magnoliopsida; Malpighiales; Euphorbiaceae. The record is from RNAcentral.